GACGAACGCUGGCGGCGUGCCUAAUACAUGCAAGUCGAACGCUUCUUUCCUCCCGAGUGCUUGCACUCAAUUGGAAAGAGGAGUGGCGGACGGGUGAGUAACACGUGGGUAACCUACCCAUCAGAGGGGGAUAACACUUGGAAACAGGUGCUAAUACCGCAUAACAGUUUAUGCCGCAUGGCAUAAGAGUGAAAGGCGCUUUCGGGUGUCGUUUAUGGAUGGACCCGCGGUGCAUUAGCUAGUUGGUGAGGUAACGGCUCACCAAGGCCACGAUGCAUAGCCGACCUGAGAGGGUGAUCGGCCACACUGGAACUGAGACACGGUCCAGACUCCUACGGGAGGCAGCAGUAGGGAAUCUUCGGCAAUGGGCGAAAGUCUGACCGAGCAACGCCGCGUGAGUGAAGAAGGUUUUCGGAUCGUAAAACUCUGUUGUUAGAGAAGAACAAGGACGUUAGUAACUGAACGUCCCCUGACGGUAUCUAAACAGAAAGCCACGGCUAACUACGUG
This 508-nucleotide ribosomal RNA is filed under the name uncultured bacterium. Its description in RNAcentral is "partial 16S ribosomal RNA". It matches the Rfam family "Bacterial small subunit ribosomal RNA", at positions 28 to 507 of the family's 1533-position model. The record is from RNAcentral.